UGGAGGCAGCAGUGAGGAAUAUUGGUCAAUGGGCGCAAGCCUGAACCAGCCAUGCCGCGUGCAGGAUGACGGUCCUAUGGAUUGUAAACUGCUUUUGUACAGGAAGAAACCUCCCGACGUGUCGGGACUUGACGGUACUGUAAGAAUAAGGAUCGGCUAACUCCGUGCCAGCAGCCGCGGUAAUACGGAGGAUCCAAGCGUUAUCCGGAAUCAUUGGGUUUAAAGGGUCCGUAGGCGGUUUGGUAAGUCAGUGGUGAAAGCCCAUCGCUCAACGGUGGAACGGCCAUUGAUACUGCCAGACUUGAAUUAUUAGGAAGUAACUAGAAUAUGUAGUGUAGCGGUGAAAUGCUUAGAGAUUACAUGGAAUACCAAUUGCGAAGGCAGGUUACUACUAAUGGAUUGACGCUGAUGGACGAAAGCGUGGGUAGCGAACAGGAUUAGAUACCCUAGUAGUCG
Molecule: ribosomal RNA, 456 nt
Filed under: uncultured bacterium
Lineage: Bacteria
Description: bacterial SSU rRNA
Rfam family: Bacterial small subunit ribosomal RNA
Source: RNAcentral